GGCGAGCGGCGGACGGGUGAGUAAUGCCUAGGAUCUGCCCAGUCGAGGGGGAUAACAGUUGGAAACGACUGCUAAUACCGCAUACGCCCUACGGGGUGAAAGGAGGGGACCUUCGGCGCCUUCCGCGAUUGGAUGAACCUAGGUGGGAUUAGCUAGUUGGUGAGGUAAUGGCUCACCAAGGCGACGAUCCCUAGCUGUUCUGAGAGGAUGAUCAGCCACACUGGGACUGAGACACGGCCCAGACUCCUACGGGAGGCAGCAGUGGGGAAUAUUGCACAAUGGGGGAAACCCUGAUGCAGCCAUGCCGCGUGUGUGAAGAAGCCUUCGGGUUGUAAAGCACUUUCAGUAGGGAGGAAAGGUACAUAGUUUAAUACGCUAUUACUGUGACUGUUACCUACAGAAGAAGGACCGGCUAACUCCGUGCCAGCAGCCGCGGUAAUACGGAGGGUCCGAGCGUUAAUCGGACAUUACUGGGCGUAAAAGCGUGCGCAGGCGGUUUGUUUAAGCGAGAUGUGAAAGCCCCGGGCUCAACCUGGGAAUUGCUUUUCGAACUGGCGAACUAAGAGUCUUGUACAGGGGGGUUACAAUUCCAGGUGUUGCGGUGAAUGCG
This 610-nucleotide ribosomal RNA is filed under the name Shewanella baltica. RNAcentral describes it as "bacterial SSU rRNA". It matches the Rfam family "Bacterial small subunit ribosomal RNA", at positions 90 to 690 of the family's 1533-position model. The record is from RNAcentral. Lineage: Bacteria; Pseudomonadati; Pseudomonadota; Gammaproteobacteria; Alteromonadales; Shewanellaceae.